UACGGAGGAUCCAAGCGUUAUCCGGAUUUAUUGGGUUUAAAGGGUGCGUAGGCGGUUUUUUAAGUUAGAGGUGAAAUCCCGUGGCUCAACCACGGAACUGCCUCUGAUACUGGAGAGCUAGCGAGUAGAUGCUGUAGGCGGAAUGUGUGGUGUAGCGGUGAAAUGCUUAGAGAUCACACAGAACACCGAUUGCGAAGGCAGCUUACAAAUCUACAUCGGACGCUGAGGCACGAAAGCGUGGGGAGCAAACAGG
Molecule: ribosomal RNA, 253 nt
Filed under: uncultured bacterium
Lineage: Bacteria
Description: partial 16S ribosomal RNA
Rfam family: Bacterial small subunit ribosomal RNA
Source: RNAcentral